UCCUCCCUCAAACCUCCCGGUUUGGCGUUGGACCACGUCGGACCCCCUGUGGUCGACGGGUCUCAAAGACAAUGACGGCGUCCGUGGGACCCUCUUCGCACUGAGCUUUCCGGAGCACGCGUCGAGUUGCAAGGUCCCGGGGACCCGGCCUUAAAUAACAUUAUUUAUCA
This 170-nucleotide unclassified non-coding RNA is filed under the name uncultured Trichomeriaceae. RNAcentral describes it as "sequence contains ITS2". Lineage: Eukaryota; Fungi; Ascomycota; Eurotiomycetes; Chaetothyriales. The record is from RNAcentral.